GUUCCCUACGGGACGCAGCAGUGAGGAGUAUUGGUCAAUGGCCGGAAGGCUGAACCAGCCAAGCCGCGUGAAGGACGAAGGUGCCAAGCAUUGUAAACUUCUUUUGUCAAGGGACAAAAUCAGGCUCGAGAGCCUGACCGAGGGUACUUGAAGAAAAAGCAUCGGCUAACUCCGUGCCAGCAGCCGCGGUAAUACGGAGGAUGCGAGCGUUAUCCGGAUUUAUUGGGUUUAAAGGGUGCGUAGGCGGACUGUUAAGUCAGCGGUAAAAACCCGGGGCUCAACCCCGGCGAGGCGUUGAAACUGGG
This 305-nucleotide ribosomal RNA is filed under the name uncultured bacterium. RNAcentral's name for it is "bacterial SSU rRNA". It matches the Rfam family "Bacterial small subunit ribosomal RNA", at positions 334 to 637 of the family's 1533-position model. The record is from RNAcentral.